AAGUCAGUGGCGGACGGGUGAGUAACGCGUGAGUAACCUGCCCUUCAGAGGGGGAUAACGUCUGGAAACGGACGCUAAUACCGCAUGACAUAUUUCCAUCGCAUGGUGGAGAUAUCAAAGGAGCAAUCCGCUGAAAGAUGGACUCGCGUCCGAUUAGAUAGUUGGCGGGGUAACGGCCCACCAAGUCGACGAUCGGUAGCCGGACUGAGAGGUUGAACGGCCACAUUGGGACUGAGACACGGCCCAGACUCCUACGGGAGGCAGCAGUGGGGGAUAUUGCACAAUGGGCGAAAGCCUGAUGCAGCAACGCCGCGUGAGGGAAGACGGUUUUCGGAUUGUAAACCUCUGUUCUAAGUGACGAACAAAUGACGGUAGCUUAGGAGAAAGCCCCGGCUAACUACGUGCCAGCAGCCGCGGUAAUACGUAGGGGGCAAGCGUUGUCCGGAAUUACUGGGUGUAAAGGGAGCGCAGGCGGAGAAGCAAGUCAGUGGUGAAAACGAUGGGCUUAACUCAUCGACUGCCAUUGAAACUGUUUCCCUUGAGUGAAGUAGAGGCAGGCGGAAUUCCGAGUGUAGCGGUGAAAUGCGUAGAUAUUCGGAGGAACACCAGUGGCGAAGGCGGCCUGCUGGGCUUUAACUGACGCUGAGGCUCGAAAGUGUGGGGAGCAAACAGGAUUAGAUACCCUGGUAGUCCACACUGUAAACGAUGAUUGCUAGGUGGGGGGGGGUCUGACCCCUUCCGGGCCCGGAGUUAACGCCAAUAAAGCAAUCCCACCUGGGGGAGUACGGGCCGCAAGGUUGAAACUCAAAGGAAUUGACGGGGGCCCGCACAAGCAGUUGGAUUAUGUGGUUUAAUUCGACGCAACGCGAAGAACCUUACCAGGUCUUGACAUCCAACGAAUCCUUAAGAGAUUAGGGAGUGCCUUUCGGGGAACGUUGAGACAGGUGGUGCAUGGUUGUCGUCAGCUCGUGUCGUGAGAUGUUGGGUUAAGUCCCGCAACGAGCGCAACCCCUGCCAUUAGUUGCUACGCAAGAGCACUCUAAUGGGACCGCUACCGACAAGGUGGAGGAAGGUGGGGACGACGUCAAAUCAUCAUGCCCCUUAUGACCUGGGCUACACACGUAAUACAAUGGCCGUUAACAACGGGAGGCAAAACCGCGAGGUGGAGCAAAACCCUAAAAACGGUCCCAGUUCGGAUCGCAGGCUGCAACCCG
This 1214-nucleotide ribosomal RNA is filed under the name uncultured bacterium. RNAcentral describes it as "bacterial SSU rRNA". It matches the Rfam family "Bacterial small subunit ribosomal RNA", at positions 89 to 1314 of the family's 1533-position model. The record is from RNAcentral.